GGGCCUGUAGUUCAGCUGGCUAGAACGCUUCGCUGGCAGCGAAGAGGUCGUGGGUUCGAGUCCCACCAGGUCCA
Molecule: transfer RNA, 74 nt
Filed under: Candidatus Nomurabacteria bacterium
Lineage: Bacteria; Candidatus Nomuraibacteriota
Also listed under: 1 other name
Description: tRNA-Ala
Rfam family: tRNA
About the family: Transfer RNA (tRNA) molecules are approximately 80 nucleotides in length. Their secondary structure includes four short double-helical elements and three loops (D, anti-codon, and T loops).
Source: RNAcentral